GCCCAGCUACAAACCCUUCUUGGUGUGUCCCUAAUAGAGAUUUUGUCUCGGCAUUCUACUGAUGAGAUUUACCUUGGGCAGAGAGACACUCCUGAAUGGACUUCAGAUGCUGAGCCCCUGGCGGCAUUUGAGAGAUUUGGCAGCAGGCUGAGGGGCAUUGAAACAAGAAUUAACCAAAUGAACCAAGACAGGAGAUGGAAUAACCGAUUUGGGCCUGUUGAGAUGCAAUACACCUUGCUCUAUCCCAACACCUCAGAUUACUCAAGACAGGGUGGCCUCGCUGGCAAGGGAAUUCCUAAUAGUGUCUCAAUCUAAAUUUUUUGUUGAAAUGAUUAGUGAGUGUUUGUUUGUGAAGCAAGGAAAUACUUUUGGUUCAAAAUCUUUGUAUCUUCGAACUUUCUUGAUCACAUAGUGAAGGCAAGUAAAAUAUGCAGAUUCUCAAACAUGCUAUGCAAUCAUCCACAUGCCACAUAAAUGUUAUUUUGCAACUAUGUAUGCUUAUAUGAAAAUUGUAUUUUCAGAUUUGCAUACAUGUUCUCCAUAUACACACACACAUGGUAUCCCAAAAGAAUCCAAAGGACUAAGGUGCACAACAAUCAGCUAAUGCAAUCGAAAACCUGACAAGAUAUCCUUGAUGGUCAUUUUUCUUGGCCGGACUAGCUUCCUUCUAGAAUCUGCAUCCUCUCUAGUUUUGCAGCAUUUCCCUGGAUUUUGUCCAUCCCAUAUAUACAUUAGUUACUGGAAGCCCUUGAAACCACACUCCCCUACCCAAAAGGGGAAAAUACAGGGGAAGGUGGGAUUUCAUCCCAGGUCUCUACCACCUUCACUGGCCAACACCCUUCAAGCAGGGGCUUUGACUAUCAACAGAGGCUUUUCUAUAAAUUGAUUGCAUCCAUGAUUCAAACUUAAAUCACUGAAAGUAGAAACGUUUUGGUAAAGAAAAUGCUUCUACAGAUUGCCACACUCAAACCGUAUUAAAAUUGGUUUGAUCUUUGAUCCAACCUGAGUCCAAUUGUAAAGAAUCCCCACAUUCUAAAAUUAUCAAGCAAAAUACAUAACACAAUAUGAGUACAAAAAAGAGCGUAGAAAUCCAAAUUGAAUGCACAAAAUAAGAGGUAAAUAUGGAAAACAGAAAAUUAAAAAUGAGAAACAAGAAUAACAAGAUGAAUAUUAAUCAGAAACUUAAGGGAACAGAAUGUAAGAAAAAUAAAGAGAAGAAUUAUCAAAAGGUUAACAUCAGUAUUGACUUACCUGUUGCAAUGAACAAAACUAAAACCCCCCAACCCAAUACCAUCGCCAUCAAAAUAACCUGAAAAUUGAAUGACACCCCAGCAUCACAGUAAAACCUAACUCUCUCUCUCUCUCUCUC
RNAcentral lists this long non-coding RNA (1369 nucleotides) under Vitis vinifera (wine grape). RNAcentral describes it as "long non-coding RNA (VVIN_LNC001341)". Lineage: Eukaryota; Viridiplantae; Streptophyta; Magnoliopsida; Vitales; Vitaceae. The record is from RNAcentral.